This 1058-nucleotide ribosomal RNA is filed under the name uncultured Cryobacterium sp. Its description in RNAcentral is "bacterial SSU rRNA". It matches the Rfam family "Bacterial small subunit ribosomal RNA", at positions 337 to 1393 of the family's 1533-position model. Lineage: Bacteria; Bacillati; Actinomycetota; Actinomycetes; Micrococcales; Microbacteriaceae. The record is from RNAcentral.
UCCUACGGGAGGCAGCAGUGGGGAAUAUUGCACAAUGGGCGCAAGCCUGAUGCAGCAACGCCGCGUGAGGGACGAAGGCCUUCGGGUUGUAAACCUCUUUUAGUAGGGAAGAAGCGACUGGGUUUUCCUGGGAGUGACGGUACCUGCAGAAAAAGCACCGGCUAACUACGUGCCAGCAGCCGCGGUAAUACGUAGGGUGCAAGCGUUGUCCGGAAUUAUGGGGCGUAAAGAGCUCGUAGGCGGUUUGUCGCGUCUGCUGUGAAAACCCGAGGCUCAACCUCGGGCCUGCAGUGGGUACGGGCAGACUAGAGUGCGGUAGGGGAGAUUGGAAUUCCUGGUGUAGCGGUGGAAUGCGCAGAUAUCAGGAGGAACACCAAUGGCGAAGGCAGAUCUCUGGGCCGUAACUGACGCUGAGGAGCGAAAGCAUGGGGAGCGAACAGGAUUAGAUACCCUGGUAGUCCAUGCCGUAAACGUUGGGAACUAGAUGUGGGGGACCAUUCCACCGUCUCCGUGUCGCAGCUAACGCAUUAAGUUCCCCGCCUGGGGAGUACGGCCGCAAGGCUAAAACUCAAAGGAAUUGACGGGGGCCCGCACAAGCGGCGGAGCAUGCGGAUUAAUUCGAUGCAACGCGAAGAACCUUACCAAGGCUUGACAUAUACCGGAAACGGCUGGAAACAGUCGCCCCGCAAGGUCGGUAUACAGGUGGUGCAUGGUGUCGUCAGCUCGUGUCCUGAGAUGUUGGGUUAAGUCCCGCAACGAGCGCAACCCUCGUCCUAUGUUGCCAGCACGUAAUGGUGGGAACUCAUGGGAUACGGCCGGGGUCAACUCGGAGGAAGGUGGGGAUGACGUCAAAUCAUCAUGCCCCUUAUGUCUUGGGCUUCACGCCUGCUACAAUGGCCGGUACAAAGGGCUGCGAUACCGCAAGGUGGAGCGAAUCCCAAAAAGCCGGUCUCAGUUCGGAUUGAGGUCUGCAACUCGACCUCAUGAAGUUGGAGUCGCUAGUAAUCGCAGAUCAGCAACGCUGCGGUGAAUACGUUCCCGGGCCUUGUACACACCGC